CAGUAGCCGCGGUAAUACGUAGGGUGCGAGCGUUAAUCGGAAUUACUGGGCGUAAAGCGUGCGCAGGCGGUUGUGUAAGACAGGUGUGAAAUCCCCGGGCUUAACCUGGGAACUGCGCUUGUGACUGCACAGCUAGAGUAUGGCAGAGGGGGGUGGAAUUCCACGUGUAGCAGUGAAAUGCGUAGAGAUGUGGAGGAACACCGAUGACGAAGGCAGCCCCCUGGGCCAAUACUGACGCUCAUGCACGAAAGCGUGGGGAGCGAACAGGAUUAGAUACCCGUGUAGUCCCUGUCUCUUAUAC
RNAcentral lists this ribosomal RNA (301 nucleotides) under uncultured bacterium. RNAcentral's name for it is "partial 16S ribosomal RNA". It matches the Rfam family "Bacterial small subunit ribosomal RNA", at positions 509 to 807 of the family's 1533-position model. The record is from RNAcentral.